Molecule: long non-coding RNA, 827 nt
Organism: Dermatophagoides farinae (American house dust mite)
Lineage: Eukaryota; Metazoa; Arthropoda; Arachnida; Sarcoptiformes; Pyroglyphidae
Source: RefSeq, a predicted model, not a curated record
UUACGCUGCUUAUUUGCAAUGUAAACUGCAUACUUGCAGGUUAUUUAGCAGGCUAAACUGCAAAGUUACAUAUUAACCUCCAUGAAAGAAUGGUAAACACGCUUUCUUAUUGAAGGUUAACCUCCGAUUUUGAAUUUCAUUCAGUUUUUUCGAUGUUAUUCUUCAUUUUUUUCAUGCUUUUAGUCAAAACUCUGAAGAUGUAAAAUUAUCUUCACGAAAUUCACAUAUUCGUAUUGCAACUUGACUUAUUUAUUUAUUGACUGUCAUCUCGACUUGCCAAUUUGAACUCGGCCACUUGUUGACAUGUUUGAUUCUUGACAUCCACUUUGACUUGGCCACUGUUGACUUAUUCACUCGAUUUUGAUUUUUGUUCCUAUCGAUUUUUUAAAAUGUUCAUCUCUGUCUUGAAAUGUUCAAUCAAUGAAUCAUAAUUAUUGACUGACGAUCAAGUUCAAUCUUUGCCACAUUCAUCCGUCACACACAUUGGCUACAUAAAAAUCAAUCAUUUCGAUGGAUUCGAAUUCUCAUCGCUCUGAUCAAAAGAUCUGGAUAUUCAGAUGAAUCUUUCAAUUAAUGAUCGUAACUUGGGAAUAAUGAAAAUCAUAGAUGAACACAACAUUCUGGAUGAAUGACAUUAACAAGUGCACGAUCGCCGAAUGAUCAAUCAGUAAAAGUCAAUCUGGCCAUCUCAACUUUUCGUCAUCAUCAUCAUUUACGAGAAUAUGGAUAACCGAGUAAAGACCCUUGAAAUAAAUGCAUCCAUUGGAUUAUCCAAAUUCUCUGGAUUCAUUUUAUAAUUUAUCUCAAAAAUUCGACCUUUUCAUCAA